Long non-coding RNA from Hemicordylus capensis (graceful crag lizard), 663 nucleotides. RefSeq lists it as uncharacterized. The record is from RefSeq and is a predicted model, not a curated record. The transcript is spliced from 3 exons. NCBI's taxonomy places the organism in Eukaryota, Metazoa, Chordata, Lepidosauria, Squamata, Cordylidae.
AACGCUGAGGGGCGAACAAGAAAAGCAAAAAAGGGACAAAGUGAGAGAAGGGCAAGGAAAAGAAAAGGCUCUGCAUAGGCCUCGCCUGCGCACCUGGAGAGCAGGUAAACAAGUGAGUCCUUGGCGGAGAGUUUACCUGCGAGGGACGCGAACAACGGCAGCCCAAGCCGGUACCUGCGGCGUGGCCAACAGAACGGGAAGUAAACCGUACCCACGACCCGGAGGUAACAGGCCUCCACCUUACAGAGGCAGAAAGCACUUCCGGCACUAGACUGAGUGAAUUUCUGUCAGCCACCCUACCUACGCGUACGCCAAGCUAGGGAAACCAGUUUCAGUGUGCUAAAUACAGACGCUUGAAGUGAAUCUGAAAGUGGCAAGAAGUUGAUGAACAGGAUGUCUUCACCAGCAACUAACAAGCAUGGAAUAAUAAAGGAAACCAUAAGCAAAAGUAGGAAGAGAGAGAGCAUGAACAACCAUCAGCCAUGGAUAAAUUUACUUAGCUGUUCAUUGCCUAAUAUGUUAUGCCUUUACUGAAGCAAGCACAAAGCUUAUCGGCCAGAUAAUUAUCCUGCACUGACAUGCACAAAACUAAGAAAGAAAUGUCACUCUUUUUGAUUGAUCAAUAAAGAUGUCAAACAUCGUGUGCGAAAAUAAUCUCAGGAA